This is a non-coding RNA of Phasianus colchicus (ring-necked pheasant), 344 nucleotides long. The record is from RefSeq and is a predicted model, not a curated record. Lineage: Eukaryota; Metazoa; Chordata; Aves; Galliformes; Phasianidae.
UCAGUUGAAACAAUCAGUAUCCUGAGGAGCACUGCAUUGAGUUCUGCGGUUUAGACUAUAGCUGCCCACUGUCUACACUUUAUGAUAGCAUGCUGUGAUGGUGCUCUGCUGGCGGGCAGCUGGUUUCCAUGGCAGGAACAUGGUUGGAGAGACUGAAUUCUUCACAACAGCUCUUCAGAAGACAUAUGCUUCACAUCUGAGCAGCGUGCUGGGACUGCAGUGCAGGCUGGAGGUUUGUGCGCCGACGCCAUUCUGGCUGCCCAUGCCUGUAGAAGGGUGCAGCACUGACUCGGGCUCCUGGGCUGGGACUGGGGCUCCUUCAUCCCCUCAGUAAGUCAAACCCG